UACGGAGGGUGCAAGCGUUAUCCGGAUUCACUGGGUUUAAAGGGUGCGUAGGCGGGCAGGUAAGUCCGUGGUGAAAUCUCUGAGCUUAACUCAGAAACUGCCAUGGAUACUAUUUGUCUUGAAUAUUGUGGAGGUAAGCGGAAUAUGUCAUGUAGCGGUGAAAUGCUUAGAUAUGACAUAGAACACCAAUUGCGAAGGCAGCUGGCUACACAUAUAUUGACACUGAUGCACGAAAGCGUGGGGAUCAAACAGG
This 253-nucleotide ribosomal RNA is filed under the name uncultured bacterium. Its description in RNAcentral is "partial 16S ribosomal RNA". It matches the Rfam family "Bacterial small subunit ribosomal RNA", at positions 524 to 776 of the family's 1533-position model. The record is from RNAcentral.